This 1028-nucleotide long non-coding RNA is filed under the name Amphibalanus amphitrite. Its description in RNAcentral is "uncharacterized LOC122364775". Lineage: Eukaryota; Metazoa; Arthropoda; Thecostraca; Balanomorpha; Balanidae. The record is from RNAcentral.
CUUCCUUUCUCGAAAGCACUGCGAAGGCUGCCGGCAGCGUGGUUGUUCCUUUCGCGAGUUGGUGUCUGGCGCACAGCGCGAACGUCUCAUGAGCAAGAAGCCGUAGAGACGAUGCUCUCAAUGUUGGACACCGAAGUGAGGCAACUCAUCGGGCACAACGUCAAAAUGUCCCUGUUGUGUCCUGGCCCUGGGUCACGCGUGUCGCGCCUUGACAGCCGUGACCUUGAACGACCUUGACCGGCCGGGCCGGGCCGAGCGGCCGAGGGUCAGUAUCGUCCGAGCGGCGCUGGUGUCAACACAGCUGAGUGCCGCGAGGUGAGGUGAGGCGUGUUCGCCGAGACGGUCCGGCCACAGUGAAAUAGUGUAAUAGUGGUGUAAUCGAUAAUAUGCGUGGCCAGUACGCGAGUGAGAUUGACCCUGUGCGCGACACCGAUUCAGAGACGCACAUAAGUUAACACCGUCGUGUCGGAUUGCUCGUACCGGUGAUGGGAGACAACGAGCAGCUGGAGCGUCUGAUGGCGCUCAUGGUUCAGCAGUCAGCAGGCUGCCAUGCUGGAGUAGCUCCUCCCCAGCCAGAUGCAGCUACCAGCUGCGCAAACUGUCUAGAGCGGCCAACCGGCUGUCGUCGCCUCCGCCGCUCCUAUGGCUAGACUUCGGUCUCGCAUGGACUGCCGUCGGUAGUGUUCACAUGCCAGCCCAUACAUUUUACCUGUAUUAACUUUUUAAUGUCUGUGCCUGUGUAACUAUUGUACGUGCCUGUACUUAACAGUGUUUGAAUUGUACAUCGUUCGCACAGUCUGUGGACCGUGAGGAACGCCGCUUGACAUGCAUUUUUGCACUUACCUGCAUUCCGUGUUAAAAGUAAAGUAAAGGGACUGAGCUGUCGUGCACCGGGAGAUAUUAUGGUCUCUUGCUAAACGACUCAGUUGAAACUCAGCACGCCGGUCGGUACUGACUGGGGCGGCACGCGAAAGGGUUUGGGCAGCUUUUGAAACAAAAUGUUCGCAUCGAAUGACUGCAUCGCAUGU